RNAcentral lists this ribosomal RNA (340 nucleotides) under uncultured eukaryote. RNAcentral's name for it is "partial 18S ribosomal RNA". It matches the Rfam family "Eukaryotic small subunit ribosomal RNA", at positions 1470 to 1796 of the family's 1831-position model. The record is from RNAcentral.
CCCUUAGAUGUUCUGGGCCGCACGCGCGCUACACUGAUACAAGCAACGAGUAGUUUUCCGAAAUCGACCUUGAUCGGAAGAUCCGGGGAAUCUUGUGAAAUUGUAUCGUGAUAGGGCUUGACGAUUGUAAUUAUUUGUCACAAACGAGGAAUUCCUAGUAAGCGCAAGUCAUCAACUUGCACUGAUUGCGUCCCUGCCCUUUGUACACACCGCCCGUCGCUCCUACCGAUUGAAUGUUAAGGCGAAUGCUUCGGAUUCGCGGCUCUGCUUGGGAAACCUUUUGGAGCCAACGAAGAAGUUGUGUAAGCCUUGACAUUUAGAGGAAGGAAAAGUCGUAACA